CUCUUGGGUUGUAAACCUCUUUUCUCAGGGAAGAAGCUCAUGACGGUACCUGAGGAAUCAGCCUCGGCUAACUCCGUGCCAGCAGCCGCGGUAAUACGGAGGAGGCAAGCGUUAUCCGGAAUUAUUGGGCGUAAAGCGUCCGCAGGUGGCGAUUCAAGUCUGCUGUCAAAGCGCGGGGCUUAACUCCGUUAAGGCAGUGGAAACUGAAUGGCUAGAGUGCCGUAGGGGUAGAGGGAAUUCCCGGUGUAGCGGUGAAAUGCGUAGAGAUCGGGAAGAACAUCGGUGGCCAAAGCGCCAGCUUUACGCCCAAUAA
RNAcentral lists this ribosomal RNA (313 nucleotides) under uncultured cyanobacterium. RNAcentral describes it as "bacterial SSU rRNA". It matches the Rfam family "Bacterial small subunit ribosomal RNA", at positions 415 to 743 of the family's 1533-position model. Lineage: Bacteria; Bacillati; Cyanobacteriota. The record is from RNAcentral.